Molecule: ribosomal RNA, 245 nt
Filed under: uncultured bacterium
Lineage: Bacteria
Description: partial 16S ribosomal RNA
Rfam family: Bacterial small subunit ribosomal RNA
Source: RNAcentral
UACGGAGGAUCCAAGCGUUAUCCGGAUUUACUGGGUUUAAAGGGUGCGUAGGCGGAAUGGUAAGUCAGUGGUGAAAUCCUGCAGCUUAACUGCAGAACUGCCAUUGAUACUGCCAAUCUAGAGUAUAUUUGAAGUGGGCGGAAUGUGUUAUGUAGCGGUGAAAUGCUUAGAUAUAACACAGAACACCAAUUGCGAAGGCAGCUCACUAAACUAUAACUGACGCUGAGGCACGAAAGCGUGGGGAG